GGAAAAAUUAUUAUCACUGAUAGAGGUUGCAAGGCCAAUUAAUGCAGGGUCACUGCUUCGUCGUACAUGAAGAGGCAUAUCUGAAGUAAAACCAAUGUUUCUUGUGACAUGCAAAUAACUUUUAUAGAAGAACUACAUUUUCAUCAGCAUAAGGAGAUCUCAACCAAUGGAGAUUGCAAUCAUGGUCACAACUAUACAGAAGGGUCUUUGAGAACUCUACUGUGCAGCUAAGAAAUAGAGGAAUAAAGCACCUCAUAUCCUAGAAACGAUUUCCAAAGUAUGUCCCCUGAAAUAUUAAAACAAAAUACAAAGAAAAGAAUGUUCAAUAAUUAAACCUCUGGAAGAAGCACACAUGGGAGCAGAGCAAUGUCACUGAAUCUAGGAUGAGAGCUAAGGGUGUUUGAUGCCUGUGCUUACUUUGAAGAGUAGAUAAAACGGCAAUAAACCCUAAUCAUAAGACUUCAAAUUCUCUGUGGCACUAAUGUACUGUAAAUAUUGAUUUGCCUCUUCAGGUAAGAUGUCUGUUAAAUAAGUUGUAGCAUGAAUUAGAAAAAAAGAAUUAAAUAACAGAUAUGCACAUCUUGACUGUUAAAUAGACCAAAUAUGUUCUCCCACAAACUUAUGAGUAUAACUAGAAUUUUUCAAAAUGUUUAAUAUUUAUUAUUUAAUAUUAAAACAAUGAGCAUCUGAACAAGUUGAUCUCCCAU
Sarcophilus harrisii (Tasmanian devil) is the source of this 707-nucleotide long non-coding RNA. RefSeq lists it as uncharacterized. Lineage: Eukaryota; Metazoa; Chordata; Mammalia; Dasyuromorphia; Dasyuridae. The transcript is spliced from 4 exons. The record is from RefSeq and is a predicted model, not a curated record.